RNAcentral lists this ribosomal RNA (334 nucleotides) under uncultured bacterium. RNAcentral's name for it is "bacterial SSU rRNA". It matches the Rfam family "Bacterial small subunit ribosomal RNA", at positions 568 to 898 of the family's 1533-position model. The record is from RNAcentral.
UGCGCAGGCGGCCAGGUGUGUGAGGCGUGAAAGCCCGAGGCUCAACCUCGGAAUUGCACCUCAAACUACAUGGCUAGAGUACUGGAGAGGGUGACGGAACUCACGGUGUAGCAGUGAAAUGCGUAGAUAUCGUGAAGAACACCAGAGGCGAAGGCGGUCACCUGGACAGUUACUGACGCUCAGGCACGAAAGCGUGGGGAGCAAAAGGGAUUAGAUACCCCUGUAGUCCACGCCCUAAACGGUGCACACUAGGUCUUGGCGGAUUCGACCCCCCCCAGGGCCCCAAGCUAACGCGUUAAGUGUGCCGCCUGAGGACUACGGCCGCAAGGCUAAA